CGCCCGCCGCGCGCGGCGGGCCUACGGGAGGCAGCAGUGGGGAAUAUUGCACAAUGGGCGCAAGCCUGAUGCAGCCAUGCCGCGUGUAUGAAGAAGGCCUUCGGGUUGUAAAGUACUCUUCAGCGAGGAGGAAGGCGUUGUGGUUAAUAACCGCAGCGAUUGACGUUACUCGCAGAAGAAGCACCGGCUAACUCCGUGCCAGCAGCCGCGGUAAUA
RNAcentral lists this ribosomal RNA (216 nucleotides) under uncultured bacterium. Its description in RNAcentral is "partial 16S ribosomal RNA". It matches the Rfam family "Bacterial small subunit ribosomal RNA", at positions 309 to 525 of the family's 1533-position model. The record is from RNAcentral.